GGGUCGUUAGCUCAGUUGGUAGAGCAGCGGACUUUUAAUCCGUUGGCCGCGUGUUCAAAUCACGCACGGCCUA
RNAcentral lists this transfer RNA (73 nucleotides) under Candidatus Vidania fulgoroideorum. Its description in RNAcentral is "tRNA-Lys". It matches the Rfam family "tRNA". Rfam says of the family: Transfer RNA (tRNA) molecules are approximately 80 nucleotides in length. The record is from RNAcentral. Lineage: Bacteria; Pseudomonadati; Pseudomonadota; Betaproteobacteria.